CAUGAAGAGAGUAGAAAAUGGUGUUUUUCAUAAAUUAUACUUAUAAUUUCACUAAAAUAGUAAAAUGAUAACACAAUUUCAAUUAAAGAAGUUCACUAAAUUAUAAUUUCUCUGAUAAUCCAUGCCACAUAAACUCAAAUAUAAAUUAACAGUAACAGGACAGCCAUAAUAACAUAUGUUAUAUACCUGGAAAAAAAAGCAGUAUCAUAGUACACGUGCAGACUGAAGAGAAGAAGAAAAGAUGGUACCCAUGGAAGACCCAUGAAGAGAAAUAGUAGAAAAUGGUGUUUUUGAAAAGAACCGAACAUAUAACCAAGGAAAAAAAAGCAACAAUAUAUGUAAAGAGAAGAAGAGAAGAUGGUACCCAUAGAAGACGCAUGAAGAAAAUGAGUAGAAAAUGGUGUUUUUGAAGAGAAGAUGGAAGACCCAUGAAGAGAAAAAGAGUCGAAGAGAUCAGCAAGGAGAAAUUAAAAAAAAAAAAGAAAA
Molecule: unclassified non-coding RNA, 486 nt
Filed under: Hevea brasiliensis (rubber tree)
Lineage: Eukaryota; Viridiplantae; Streptophyta; Magnoliopsida; Malpighiales; Euphorbiaceae
Source: RNAcentral